RNAcentral lists this ribosomal RNA (431 nucleotides) under uncultured bacterium. Its description in RNAcentral is "bacterial SSU rRNA". It matches the Rfam family "Bacterial small subunit ribosomal RNA", at positions 355 to 776 of the family's 1533-position model. The record is from RNAcentral.
UCGAGAAUAGUCUACAAUGGCCGGAAGGCUGAUAGUGCGACGCCGCGUGAACGAGGGAGCCCUUCGGGGUGUAAAGUUCUUUUCUAUACGAGCAGUGCUAUAUAUAUUCAAAGUAUAUAUAGAGGGAUAGUAGUAUAGGAAUAAGCAACGGCUAACUCCGUGCCAGCAGCCGCGGUAACACGGGGGUUGCGAGCGUUGUCCGGAAUUACUAGGCGUAAAGGGCAGGUAGGCGGAUCUACGAGUUUUUUGUUAAAGGCUACGGCUUAACUGUAGUAAGGCAGGAGAUACUGUAGGUCUGGAAUGCGGUAGGGGAAGACAGAAUUCCUGGUGUAGCGGUGGAAUGCGCAGAGAUCAGGAGGAAUACCGAAGGCGAAGGCAGUCUUCUAGGCCGUAAUUGACGCUUAACUGCGAAGGUGUGGGGAUCAAACAGG